UGGUGCUAAGCUUUGUGCUUUGACCCGGUUUUCACCAGCAUUGUCGUUAAUCCAAAUCAACACGAGCAUGGCAAAAAUGUUGAGGAAACGAUAUUUGUUAAAACCUCAGUGUGGCUAGAUAUUGUAGUUUUAGACCCUUCAAAGAACGUGGUUAAAAAAACUUUUUGCAGCGCCCAUCUAACGCCCACAAACAGCCAAAAACAGCCAUCGCACUUCCUCUAGAUAGAAGAUUCCAACAGCGAGGGAGACAUUUGAACCCAUAGUAUAUAUUCUUUUUCAAUAUCAACUAUGUCAGUAUAUAUUCAGUAUAUACUGUCUUAGUUGAAUAAAACUGGAUAAAACUUUGCAAGUCUUCUUCCUAUUAUAUAUCAUAUUAUAUUUAAUUUUUGUCAAACCUACAUUAGUUGUUUUUGAUCAAGAAAUGUUUUGAUUCGGUAUAAAAAUGGUUUUCGACUAUAUAUAAUUUUGGAUUUAAUUUGAUAAGCAUCGGACGACUAUAUCACCAUACGAACACUCGGAGCACACGGAAAAGGAAUAGAUAAUUAUAGGAAAGAAAUCGGAGCUCAUUGUUUUCGAGUUUCGAGUGUUAAAGAGUUCUUAUUCGGUAUUAGUUACUGCAAAGGAGUAUAAGCUUUGGCUUGCCGUUGGUAGUUUAUCUCUUGUUUUUCUAUAUUUUAAUAAAAAAAUUUAAUUUAAUAAAAAUUUUUUUUUGACCACGCCCACUUUAAUGCCUAAAACCUAGGUGGAGUGUAGGGUCUAGAAAGUAAAUAUUUAUAUUGCGGUUAAAAUAUAGUUGAAUAAACAAAAAUGUUCAUUUCAAUUUUCAACAUAACUUUAGAAGCAAUAAAUUAAUGAAGACCUUAUUGCAGUCAGUUUCGUCACAGAGUUGCAAUAAAUGAAACCGCCAAUAGGCGAAAGUGUGAAAUUUCAAAAUCAGUCGAUAUUUUAACUAUUAUCAAUAAUUAAUAAUAUCUUUGUCUCUCUUACAACCCACUGACUAAAGAGUAUGUGAUGGUAGAGGGUCUCGCUUAUAGCGUUCUCCCUCCUUUUUUAAGAGAAUCAAUCAAUAAAAUAAUAUAUGAGAGUAAAAGUAAAAAACUAAUAAAAAAAAGACUUUUAAAUAAGGUUGACCUGCGCAGAUAUUGUUAAAACCGGGCAGCUGGUGUAACUAACAGAAAAACCUACAACGAAAUAUACUACAACUUUGUUAAAAAAUGUUAUUUUCAAAAGAUAUUAUUAUUGGUCUCAUUGAAAUGCAGUAGUAGUAAGAGCGCUUUGUGCGCGUUAUAGUAGGCGUGGCAAUAUUCUGAAACUUAUGCUGCGUCUUAACUUUCUAGAUGCAAUAGUUUCUGAGAUCCUUAUUUUUAUAAGGACAGACGGAUCAACGGACAGAUGGUCAUGUCAACUCGGCUAUAAUACUUAAUAGGCAACCUUCUACCUGUUACAUAAAAUAACGAUACCAUAUUACAUAACGAAUACAAACGAAUACGUGACGAAAAAAUAAA
This is a long non-coding RNA of Drosophila teissieri, 1505 nucleotides long. RefSeq lists it as uncharacterized. The transcript has 4 exons. The record is from RefSeq and is a predicted model, not a curated record. Lineage: Eukaryota; Metazoa; Arthropoda; Insecta; Diptera; Drosophilidae.